GGAUCCAUGCCCUCCGGCUGUAGUUGUCUGUAGCAGUGAAAAAUAUUUCAAAUUGCCAAGUGAGAUAUUUUUGAAAGGUGCAAACUAAGUUGGCAUGCAAGAGUUUGUGUCUUUUGGUCAUCCAUUUGAUGCUAACUUUUGGUCUUGUUGGUUUGUGAAUUUUAACUAAUGCACAUAUGUAGAAGAGGGUUGUGUUGAUUGGUAUGUAAGACAUGCCAUUUGUGAUACAAGGGUGAGUACAAGGAUGCCAAUGUAUCAUAGAUGCAGAUGCCAAAGUGCUCACUCUUGUUGAGGCUCUAAAUCUAUAGUUGAGGCUCUAAAUCUCUAGUUGAGGCUCCUAUCUUAUUUGUGAAGAAGAAAGGCGGAACUUUCCAGAUGUGUGUAGAUUGUUAAGGACUCAAUAAGAUUACUAUAAAAAAUAGAUAUCUUUUGCGUUUGAUUUUAGGACUACUUGACCAAUUCAAUCAAGCAAAGAUCUAUACCCAAAU
Molecule: long non-coding RNA, 488 nt
Filed under: Physcomitrium patens
Lineage: Eukaryota; Viridiplantae; Streptophyta; Bryopsida; Funariales; Funariaceae
Description: long non-coding RNA (PPAT_LNC010619)
Source: RNAcentral